CCCAGGGCCAUGGAAUUGAGAAUUUUGAAAAUGACACUAUCAGCAAUAGAUGGAUAACAAGAUACAGAGACAUACCUCACUGAAAGUUGAUAACCGGUCUGCAAUUAAGAGCGGAUGUCUACCCCACAAGAGAGUUCCUGGCCAGGGGUAGGAGGGAUGGUUACAUAAGGUCUUGCAGACAUUGUGAUGCCGAUCACAAAUCAACAGCUCAUAUAAUCGGGACCUGUCCAAUCACUCAGGAUGCCAGGAUUAAAAGACACAAUUCCAUUUGUGAAACCCUCUGUAAUGAACCUAGAAAGGAAGACGGACUGUGUUCCAGGAGCCACACAUCUGGGAUGAGAUUAAUGAAUUAUAUAAGCCAGACUUAAUCUUUGUAAAAGGUAGCAAGGCAGUUGUGGUGGACAUGACUGUGAGGUAUGAGCAUAACAACUCCUCUUUGAAAAAAGUUGCUACAGAAAAGGUGAAUAAAUAUCAACGCCUUUUACCACAAAUUAGAGAUCUAACCAAUGUGGCAGAUAUAGAGUUUAUAGGCUUUCCCAUUGGGGCACAGGGGAAGUGGUAUGCAAAAAACUCUGAAUUGCUACUGGCUCUCGGUCUCUCUAAAAUGACGCUAGAGGAGACUGCCCAGGCCCUAACAUCCAGAGUGCUCCUUUCUUCUGUUGAUAUUGUACACAUUUUCACCAGUAAAGCUCGUUCUGUUGUACCGGUUAAAUAAAUUAAUGGGCCUCUUCCCACCUGUUGGUUGAGUUGGACAGUGGAAUCGGUUAUGGGUGGGAGGGGUUCAUCCUUCAUAACAGCGUCUUUCCAUCACCCAGAUUUGGGCUUCAAAUUCUAAUCUGGACCAUAGGUGGACGGGCCAUCUCUACUUAACCUGGAAAAGAAACAUAUAAUUUUUAUAUGUUUAUUAAAUAGCCAAAUGCCUCGUCAUCUAAUUUGUGACAUGCAUGAACGGAUGAAUGAGAUUCCCACUGUCCCUGCCUACUAUCCAGCGAAACCACAGCCAAGGGAACGGGCUUGGCDGAAUCAGCGGGGAAAGAAGACCUUGUUGAACUUGACUCUAGUCUGGAGCUGUGAGGAGACAUGAGAGGUGUAGAAUAAGUGGGAGGCCAGGGGCGCGUCCCAGCAGUCAGUGAAAUACCACUACUCUGAUGGUUUUUUCACUUACCUGGUGAGGUGGGGGGGGGCAAGCCCCGAGGGGACCUCUCGCUUCUGGCGCCAAGUGGCCGGCAUGCACAGGCCGCGACCCGCUCCGGGGACAAUGGCAGGUGGGGAGUUUGACUGGGGCGGUACACCUGUCAAAGCGUAACGCAGGUGUCCUAAGGCGAGCUCAGGGAGGACGGAAAUCUCCCGCUGAGCAGAAGGGCAAAAGCUCACUUGAUCUUGAUUUUUAGCACGAAUACAGACCGUGAAAGCCGGGCCUCACGAUCCUUCUGGCUUUUUGGGUUUUAAGCAGGAGGUGUCAGAAAAGUUACCACAGGGAUAACUGGCUUGUGGCGGCCAAGCAUUCACAGUGACAUCGGUUUUUGAUCCUUUGAUGUCGGCUCUUCCUGUCUCUGUGAAGCAGAAUUCGCCAAGCGUUGGAUUUUUCACUCACUAAUAGAGAAUAUGAGCUGGGUUUAGACUGUCGUGAGACAAGUUAGUUUUACCCUACUGAUGAUGUGUUGUUGCAAUAGUAAUCCUGCUCAGUACRAGAGGAACCGCAGGUUCAGACCCCUGGUGUGUGCGCUUGGCUGAGGAACCACUGGGGCGAGGCUACCAUCUGCAGGCUUAUGACUGAACGCCUCUAAGUCAGAAUCCCGCCUAGACGUAGCGAUACCGCAGCGCCGCCUUUGCCUUGGUGGGCUUGUGAUAACCGCCCACCCACCCGUCUGUGGGCGGGCCCAGUGCAGAGCACCACUCGUGGUAGGGAGUGGAGGGGCAGACGGAUGCAGCGCUGCCUCUCCCCCAUCUCGUACCGCAUGAUCGUGGGGACCCAGUGCUAAAUCAUUCGUAGAUGACCUGAUUCUGGGCCAGGGUUUCGUACAUAGCAGAGCAGCUCACUCGCUGUGAUCUACUGAGAAUCAGCCCU
This 2068-nucleotide ribosomal RNA is filed under the name Acridotheres javanicus (Javan myna). Its description in RNAcentral is "eukaryotic LSU rRNA". The record is from RNAcentral. Lineage: Eukaryota; Metazoa; Chordata; Aves; Passeriformes; Sturnidae.